Molecule: long non-coding RNA, 556 nt
Organism: Micropterus dolomieu (smallmouth bass)
Lineage: Eukaryota; Metazoa; Chordata; Actinopteri; Centrarchiformes; Centrarchidae
Exons: 4
Source: RefSeq, a predicted model, not a curated record
CUGCCAUAUUGUGAGCGCGUGGUUCCGCUUUAGCCAUAUAGCCGCCGGCAUACUAGAUCUACACCGUCAUGUGUGCUGCCUGGACAGCCGGCAGGGAGCGGGUUAACACCAUUGCAUUGAUUGCACGUCAGUGAAAGUGCUCGGAUGCGUCGUGGUUGAAAGAACCAUUGAAUUCAAACCGUGAGACAAGGUCGCAUGUGUUUCUGCAGGUCGACUGUCAGCUCCUAACCCGAGACCCUGGAGACCCUUUCUGGAGUCAUUACAGAGGGAAACCUGUGGCUGAGGCUGAGCAGAAAUGAACAAGCUGAUCAUCUGAUAGCAGAUCACCUUUUGGCGAGACGUUGUUAACUCCAGCAGUCCCCUGAGAGCUGGUCCCGUGUUGACAGGGAAAGAAAAACACAACUGAGGAGGUCAGAAAUCUAAACCAUGGUUCUGCCAGUGGGCUGGGUGUUCCCCACCGCUGACACAUCUGCAAUAAAACACAUUGUCUGAUUUCGUAAUGGCCUGAUAAUGAAGGUGAAGAGGAGGCCAGGCAGGACAAAACUGCAGAGAUGUA